GUGCUCGCUUAAGUAGCACAUAUACUAAAAUUGGAAUGAUACAGAGAAGAUUCGCAUGGCCCCUGUGCUGUUGCAGGAAGACGAGGCUCAGUGGAGAGAAAGAGCACCCAAACACCACGUUUAU
Molecule: small nuclear RNA, 124 nt
Organism: Otolemur garnettii (small-eared galago)
Lineage: Eukaryota; Metazoa; Chordata; Mammalia; Primates; Galagidae
Source: Ensembl